Molecule: ribosomal RNA, 253 nt
Filed under: uncultured bacterium
Lineage: Bacteria
Description: partial 16S ribosomal RNA
Rfam family: Bacterial small subunit ribosomal RNA
Source: RNAcentral
UACGAAGGGAGCUAGCGUUGUUCGGAAUCACUGGGCGUAAAGCGCACGUAGGCGGAUGUGUCAGUCAGGGGUGAAAUCCCGGAGCCCAACUUCGGAACUGCCUUUGAUACAGCACGUCUUGAGUCCGAUAGAGGUGGGUGGAAUUCCUAGUGUAGAGGUGAAAUUCGUAGAUAUUAGGAAGAACACCGGUGGCGAAGGCGUCCCACUGGAUCGGUACUGACGCUGAGGUGCGAAAGCGUGGGGAGCAAACAGG